GAUGAACGCUGGCGGCGUGCCUAACACAUGCAAGUCGAACGAGAAAGUCGGUUUCGGCCGAUGAGUAAAGUGGCGCACAGGUGAGUAACGCGUGGAUAAUCUACCCUUUAGUCCGGAAUAACUUGCCGAAAGGUGAACUAAUACCGGAUGACAUCCCGGGUUCUCCGGAAACCGGGAUCAAAGAAGGCCUCUGCUUGCAAGCUUUUGCUGAAGGAUGAGUCCGCGUACCAUUAGCUAGUUGGUGGGGUAAUGGCCUACCAAGGUUAUGAUGGUUAGCUGGUCUGAGAGGAUGAUCAGCCACACUGGAACUGAAACACGGUCCAGACUCCUACGGGAGGCAGCAGUAGGGAAUCUUGCGCAAUGGGCGAAAGCCUGACGCAGCCAUGCCGCGUGAAUGAUGAAGGUCUUAGGAUUGUAAAAUUCUUUUCACCGGGGACGAUAAUGACGGUACCCGGAGAAGAAGCCCCGGCUAACUUCGUG
Molecule: ribosomal RNA, 480 nt
Filed under: uncultured bacterium
Lineage: Bacteria
Description: bacterial SSU rRNA
Rfam family: Bacterial small subunit ribosomal RNA
Source: RNAcentral